Molecule: ribosomal RNA, 435 nt
Filed under: uncultured bacterium
Lineage: Bacteria
Description: partial 16S ribosomal RNA
Rfam family: Bacterial small subunit ribosomal RNA
Source: RNAcentral
AACGAACGCUGGCGGCAUGCCUAACACAUGCAAGUCGAACGAGAUCCUUCGGGGUCUAGUGGCGCACGGGUGCGUAACGCGUGGGAAUCUGCCCUUAGGUUCGGAAUAACAGUUAGAAAUGACUGCUAAUACCGGAUGAUGACGUUAAGUCCAAAGAUUUAUCGCCUGAGGAUGAGCCCGCGUAGGAUUAGCUAGUUGGUGUGGUAAAGGCGCACCAAGGCGACGAUCCUUAGCUGGUCUGAGAGGAUGAUCAGCCACACUGGGACUGAGACACGGCCAGACUCCUACGGGAGGCAGCAGUGGGGAAUAUUGGACAAUGGGCGCAAGCCUGAUCCAGCAAUGCCGCGUGAGUGAUGAAGGCCUUAGGGUUGUAAAGCUCUUUUACCCGGGAUGAUAAUGACAGUACCGGGAGAAUAAGCCCCGGCUAACUCCGUG